RNAcentral lists this ribosomal RNA (490 nucleotides) under uncultured bacterium. Its description in RNAcentral is "partial 16S ribosomal RNA". It matches the Rfam family "Bacterial small subunit ribosomal RNA", at positions 28 to 507 of the family's 1533-position model. The record is from RNAcentral.
GAUGAACGCUCGCGAUAGGCUUAACACAUGCAAGUCGAGGGGCAGCAUGGUCUUAGCUUGCUAAGGCUGAUGGCGACCGGCGCACGGGUGCGUAACGCGUAUGCAACUUGCCUCACAGAGGGGGAUAACCCGUCGAAAGACGGACUAAUACCGCGUACACUCUAUGUUGGGCAUCCAAUGUAGAGGAAAUGAAAUUCGCUGUGAGAUAGGCAUGCGUCCCAUUAGCUAGUUGGUGAGGUAACGGCUCACCAAGGCGACGAUGGGUAGGGGAACUGAGAGGUUGAACCCCCACACUGGGACUGAGACACGGACCAGACUCCUACGGGAGGCAGCAGUGAGGAAUAUUGGUCAAUGGGCGAGAGCCUGAACCAGCCAAGUCGCGUGAAGGAUGACUGUCUUAUGGAUUGUAAACUUCUUUUAUACGGGAAUAACAAGAGUCACGUGUGGCUCCCUGCAUGUACCGUAUGAAUAAGCAUCGGCUAACUCCGUG